This 252-nucleotide ribosomal RNA is filed under the name uncultured Bacteroidales bacterium. RNAcentral's name for it is "partial 16S ribosomal RNA". It matches the Rfam family "Bacterial small subunit ribosomal RNA", at positions 524 to 776 of the family's 1533-position model. Lineage: Bacteria; Pseudomonadati; Bacteroidota; Bacteroidia; Bacteroidales. The record is from RNAcentral.
UACGGAGGAUGCGAGCGUUAUCCGGAUUUAUUGGGUUUAAAGGGUGCGCAGGCGGAUUUUUAAGUCAGCGGUCAAAUCGUGGGGCUCAACCCCAUCCAGCCGUUGAAACUGGGGAUCUAGAGUGUGCGAGAGGUAUGCGGAAUGCGUGGUGUAGCGGUGAAAUGCAUAGAUAUUACACAGAACACCGAUUGCGAAGGCAGCUUGCUAGGCCGGAUCUGACACUGAUGCACGAAAGCGUGGGGAUCGAACAGG